GACGAACGCUGGCGGCGUGCUUAACACAUGCAAGUCGAACGGAAAGGCCCUGCUUUUGUGGGGUGCUCGAGUGGCGAACGGGUGAGUAACACGUGAGUAACCUGCCCUUGACUUUGGGAUAACUUCAGGAAACUGGGGCUAAUACCGGAUAGGAGCUCCUGCUGCAUGGUGGGGGUUGGAAAGUUUCGGCGGUUGGGGAUGGACUCGCGGCUUAUCAGCUUGUUGGUGGGGUAGUGGCUUACCAAGGCUUUGACGGGUAGCCGGCCUGGGAGGGUGACCGGCCACAUUGGGACUGAGAUGCGGCCCAGACUCCUACGGGGGGCAGCAGUGGGGACUAUUGCACAAUGGGCGGAAGCCUGAUGCAGCAACGCCGCGUGCGGGAUGACGGCCUUCGGGUUGUAAACCGCUUUCGCCUGUGACGAAGCGUGAGUGACGGUAAUGGGUAAAGAAGCACCGGCUAACUACGU
This 467-nucleotide ribosomal RNA is filed under the name uncultured bacterium. Its description in RNAcentral is "partial 16S ribosomal RNA". It matches the Rfam family "Bacterial small subunit ribosomal RNA", at positions 28 to 506 of the family's 1533-position model. The record is from RNAcentral.